Molecule: ribosomal RNA, 253 nt
Filed under: uncultured bacterium
Lineage: Bacteria
Description: partial 16S ribosomal RNA
Rfam family: Bacterial small subunit ribosomal RNA
Source: RNAcentral
UACAGAGGGGGCCAGCGUUAUUCGGAAUUAUUGGGCGUAAAGGGCGCGUAGGCGGCUUGGCAAGUGGAUGGUGAAAUCCCUCGGCUUAACCGAGGAACUGCCGUCCAAACUGCUUCGCUUGAGACCGGGAGAGGUGAGUGGAAUUCCCAGUGUAGCGGUGAAAUGCGUAGAUAUCUGGAGGAACACCGGUGGCGAAGGCGGCAUCCUGGACCGGCAUUGACGCUGAGGCGCGAAAGCCAGGGGAGCAAACGGG